Molecule: ribosomal RNA, 1506 nt
Filed under: Triticum aestivum (bread wheat)
Lineage: Eukaryota; Viridiplantae; Streptophyta; Magnoliopsida; Poales; Poaceae
Description: partial small subunit ribosomal RNA
Source: RNAcentral
AUGAGCCCCUCCUCGGCCCCGGGUCCUGAUGGCCUGCCCGUGACGUUCUUUAAAACGUUCUGGCCUACCAUCAAGCCGGAGGUCAUGGCUCUGUUCGAAGAAUUUUAUUCGGGCUCCAUGGACCUUGGGCGCCUCAAUUACGGGAUUGUGACCCUCAUCCCCAAGGUCUCGGGCGCCUCGGACAUCCGCCAGUUCUGCCCAAUCACAGUGAUUAAUGUGAUUUUCCGGAUCUUGGCCAAAGGGUACGCCAAUAGGGUGACCCUCCUCGCUGACACGAUUACCCAUCCGAACCAAUCCGCCUUCAUACAAGGUCGAUUUAUUCUCGAUGGAGUGUUAGUAUUCCAUGAGGUCCUCCACGAGGUCCGUCUAAAACGCCUUCGCGCGGUCUUCCUAAAGCUAGACUUUCACAAAGCCUACGACACGGUACACUGGCCAUUCCUGCGUGAAGUGUUGCUUCGCAAGGGCUUCGACGACCGUUGGGUGACCCGCGUCAUGCAGCUUGUCUCUUGUGGCCGGACCGCGGUGAACAUCAACGGUGACAUUGGGCCCUACUUCCCCACCCUUUGUGGGGUCUGUCAGGGUGACCCCUUUUCACCGUUCUUGUUCAACAUGGUGGUCGAUGCCCUGGCAUCCAUCUUGGAUAAGGCCAAGGCUGCUGGUCAUAUCCGCGGCUUAGUCCCCCACCUAGUCGGAGGGGGAGGGGUCUCCCUCCUUCAAUAUGCGGAUGAUACCAUUAUAAUGGUCGAGGGAUCCGCCCUAGAUAUCACUAACUUGAAGUUCUUCCUCCUGUGCUUCCAACAAAUGUCGGGCCUAACCAUCAACUUUGAUAAGAGCGAAGUGAUGGUCCUCGGGUACCCCUUGGAUGAAACACAGGCUAUUGCUGACCGACUAAACUGUCGGUUGGGUUCUUUCCCCAUGACCUAUCUGGGGAUCCCCAUUAGUGACUCGCGCCUCACCGUGGCUGAUCUUCGCCCCACGGUGACCCGUAUGCAACAUCGCUGUGAGCCCUGGAAAGGGCGCUGGCUAUCGAAGGCUGCUCGCGUGAUCCUUAUCAACUCUUCGCUUGCUAGCCUCCUUUGGUUCCUCAUGAGCUUUUAUAGCCUACAUGAGACCCUGCACCAGGAGAUCGCCAAAUACCAAUCCAGAUUCUUCUGGGCUGGGGAGGGGGGUAAGCAGAAGUACCACAUGGUCAGCUGGUCAGAUGUAUGCAAACCCAAGGACCAGGGCGGUCUUGGGAUUUUGUCCUCCCGGCGCAUGAACAUUGCCCUCCUGACUCGUUGGCUCUGGCGCAUUGCCAAUGGAGAUGAGGUCUCUGGCUUACUAUCAUCCAGAACAAGUACCUACGUGGGCAGCCUCUCGCAUUUUGUCAGCGCUCAGGCGGCUCCCAGUUUUGGCAGGCCGUCGUCCAGCUGCUGCCUGUUCUGCGCAUUAGCACAUCCAUUUCGGUGGGUACUGGGUCCUCGACCCUGUUCUGGCUUGAUAGGUGGCUUGGUGACACCCCCCUAG